CUACCCGCUAUUGGAGUUCGAUUAAGCCAUGCGAGUCGAGAGUCCUCGGGACUCGGCGUACCGCUCAGUAACACGUGGGUAACCUGCCCUAUGCUGGGGAAUAACCUCGGGAAACUGAGAACAAUGCCCCAUAGCCCACUACGCCUGGAACGGUGAGUGGGUCAAAGCUCCGGCGGCAUAGGAUGGGCCUGCGCCGUAUCAGGUUGUAGGGGGUGUAAAGUACCCUCUAGCCAUCAACGCGUACGGGUGUUGGGAGACAUUGCCCGGAGAUGGAUUCUGAGACACGAAUCCAGACCCUACGGGGUGCAGCAGGCGCGAAAACUUGGCAAUGCGAGAAAUCGUGACCAGGGAACUCCAAGUGCGUAGGGUAAGACCUACGCUUUUCUUGACUCUUCAAAGGUCUUGGAAUAAGGGGUGGGUAAGGACGGUGCCAGCCGCCGCGGUAAUACCGGCGCCUCAAGUGGUAGUCGCUUUUAUUGGGCCUAGAACGUCCGUAGCCGGUCUGGUGCAUUCGUGGGUAAAUCAACCCGCUCAACGGGUUGAAUUCUGCGAGCACGGCCAGACUUGGGACCGGGAGAGGUGUGGGGUACUCUCAGGGUAGGGGGUAAAAUCCUGUCAUCCUGAGAGGACCACCUGUUGCGAAGGCGCCACACUAGAACGGAUCCGACGGUCAGGGACGAAACCUAGGGGCACGAACCGGAUUAGAUACCCGGGGUAGUCCUAGGUGUAAACGCUGUGGACUUGAUGUUGGGGGCGCUCCGAGCGCUCUCAGUGUCGAAGCGAAGGUGAUAAGUCCACUGCCUGGGGAGUAC
Molecule: ribosomal RNA, 812 nt
Filed under: uncultured marine archaeon
Lineage: Archaea
Description: bacterial SSU rRNA
Rfam family: Archaeal small subunit ribosomal RNA
Source: RNAcentral